ACACUCCUGCGGGAGGCAGCAGUGGGGAAUAUUGGACAAUGGGCGCAAGCCUGAUCCAGCCAUGCCGCGUGAGUGAUGAAGGCCCUAGGGUUGUAAAGCUCUUUCACCGGAGAAGAUAAUGACGGUAUCCGGAGAAGAAGCCCCGGCUAACUUCGUGCCAGCAGCCGCGGUAAUACGAAGGGGGCUAGCGUUGUUCGGAAUUACUGGGCGUAAAGCGCACGUAGGCGGAUCGAUCAGUCAGGGGUGAAAUCCCAGGGCUCAACCCUGGAACUGCCUUUGAUACUGUCGAUCUGGAGUAUGGAAGAGGUGAGUGGAAUUCCGAGUGUAGAGGUGAAAUUCGUAGAUAUUCGGAGGAACACCAGUGGCGAAGGCGGCUCACUGGUCCAUUACUGACGCUGAGGUGCGAAAGCGUGGGGAGCAAACAGGAUUAGAUACCCGAGUAGUCC
Molecule: ribosomal RNA, 446 nt
Filed under: uncultured organism
Description: partial 16S ribosomal RNA
Rfam family: Bacterial small subunit ribosomal RNA
Source: RNAcentral